Hyla sarda is the source of this 869-nucleotide long non-coding RNA. RefSeq lists it as uncharacterized. The record is from RefSeq and is a predicted model, not a curated record. Lineage: Eukaryota; Metazoa; Chordata; Amphibia; Anura; Hylidae. The transcript is spliced from 4 exons.
UCAUCACAGGUCCUACUACUCUAUGAUCUAGCAGUCCGGUCCUGGGAGGAGAUGGAGGGAGGGUAAGAACAGAGGUCGAUACUGCAGGACUUAUGUAACAGGGACGGCGUUCCUCCGCUGGAAAAAGCAAAGGAACGCCGUUCCUGUAGGACUCGAGCCCUGGCUCAAAUGCUGUCUCAGCUCCCAUGUGCGCCCAGAAGCCGGCAUGACUGCACAGCUCCCCGCCACAGUGGGUGCGCACAUGUUGGAGCACGGACGCGGAUACGCCUAAAUGGCACAUAGAGAUAAUCUAGUGGUGACACGCAGUCAUGUCGGCCCAACAUCCGAAGUAACAUCAGGAGAUGAAUUAAUAAGUAUAAACAUUACAUGUGCCUUCAACUGCACCAUAACAUCAAGGCCAUUCUUAAGCUUUUAUAGACACAUAAGAUCCAGAUUUAUGAAGGCGGCUCAAAGAUUGCGGAGGGCCCUGCAACAUCACUGAAAUAAAAAAAAGAGAGUCCAAGAAACAUCUAUGAACAUCUCCCUCCUGCCAGGGGGACUCUCUGAAGCGAUAGAGUACUGAGGGCCAGUAGAAGCCGGACAUGCCCUGUGAAGCCUGUGUACUCCGCUAUGUCCACAAUAAAAGGAUUGAAACCUAUUGAAAACAUAAAGAAUGAAACAAGUGGAUAACCAGCUAAACUUGAGCGUGAGAUUGUGGUCUUGGUCAUAAACGUACUGCGCCUCCUCUGUUCCCUGUAGAGCACUGCUGGUAGGGUCUGUGACGAACAGCUCUGCUUGGUAAAGUUUUGCUUGUGAUAUUACUGAUCACCAAUCUUGGUCUAGCAUAGGGACCAUCGCCUAGCAUUUGUAUGUACAGUAUUUGUUUAUAG